UACGUAGGGGGCUAGCGUUGUCCGGAAUCAUUGGGCGUAAAGCGCGUGUAGGCGGCCCGGUAAGUCCGCUGUGAAAGUCGGGGGCUCAACCCUCGAAAGCCGGUGGAUACUGUCGGGCUAGAGUACGGAAGAGGCGAGUGGAAUUCCUGGUGUAGCGGUGAAACGCGCAGAUAUCAGGAGGAACACCCAUUGCGAAGGCAGCUCGCUGGGACGUUACUGACGCUGAGACGCGAAAGCGUGGGGAGCAAACAGG
RNAcentral lists this ribosomal RNA (253 nucleotides) under uncultured bacterium. Its description in RNAcentral is "partial 16S ribosomal RNA". It matches the Rfam family "Bacterial small subunit ribosomal RNA", at positions 524 to 776 of the family's 1533-position model. The record is from RNAcentral.